RNAcentral lists this RNase P RNA (363 nucleotides) under Actinomycetota bacterium. Its description in RNAcentral is "RNase P RNA component class A". It matches the Rfam family "Bacterial RNase P class A". From Rfam's summary of the family: Ribonuclease P (RNase P) is a ubiquitous endoribonuclease, found in archaea, bacteria and eukarya as well as chloroplasts and mitochondria. Its best characterised activity is the generation of mature 5'-ends of tRNAs by cleaving the 5'-leader elements of precursor-tRNAs. Cellular RNase Ps are ribonucleoproteins. The record is from RNAcentral. Lineage: Bacteria; Bacillati; Actinomycetota.
UCUGCAGGCCGGGUGACCGCGGGUCGCCUCGCGCGACUCGAGGAAAGUCCGGACACCGAAGGGCAGGACGCUGGGGAAACCCCAGGCGGCGAAAGCCGACGGAAAGUGGCACAGAAAGGAGACCGCCUCCAGCGCACGUGUCUCUCUAGAGACGCUGGCGGUAAGGGUGAAACGGUGGGGUAAGAGCCCACCAGCGUCGCGGUGACGCGGCGGCUAGCCAAACCCCGUCCGGUGCAAGGCGAAACAGGCCCCGACGACGUUGCCCGCCGAGGGGCCGGGUCCGCCGCUCGAGCUGCCGGGAGACCGGUGGCCCAGAGAGAUGGUCAUCCUCGACAGAAUCCGGCUUAGAGGUCUGCUAAAGGA